Molecule: ribosomal RNA, 279 nt
Filed under: uncultured bacterium
Lineage: Bacteria
Description: partial 16S ribosomal RNA
Rfam family: Bacterial small subunit ribosomal RNA
Source: RNAcentral
UGCCAGCCGCCGCGGUAAUACGGAGGGUCCAAACGUUGUUCGGAAUCACUGGGCAUAAAGGGCACGUAGGCGGUCCGCUAAGUCAGAUGUGAAAUCCCUCGGCUCAACCGGGGAACUGCAUUUGAUACUGGCGGACUAGAGAAUGGUUGGGGUGAGUGGAACUCCUGGUGGAGCGGUGAAAUGCGUAGAUAUCAGGAGGAACACCGGUGGCGAAAGCGACUCACUGGACCAUUUCUGACGCUGAGGUGCGAAAGCUAGGGGAGCGAACGGGAUUAGAUA